This 69-nucleotide transfer RNA is filed under the name Flavobacteriales bacterium. Its description in RNAcentral is "tRNA-Asn". It matches the Rfam family "tRNA". Rfam says of the family: Transfer RNA (tRNA) molecules are approximately 80 nucleotides in length. Their secondary structure includes four short double-helical elements and three loops (D, anti-codon, and T loops). Lineage: Bacteria; Pseudomonadati; Bacteroidota; Flavobacteriia; Flavobacteriales. The record is from RNAcentral.
UCCUCCUUAGCUCAGCUGGUUAGAGCAUCUGACUGUUAAUCAGAGGGNNUUCGAGUCCAAGAGGAGGAG